CCUACGGGAGGCAGCAGUGGGGAAUUUUGGACAAUGGGCGCAAGCCUGAUCCAGCAAUGCCGCGUGAGUGAAGAAGGCCUUCGGGUUGUAAAGCUCUUUUGUCAGGGAAGAAACGGACUUUUCUAAUACAGAGGUCUAAUGACGGUACCUGAAGAAUAAGCACCGGCUAACUACGUGCCAGCAGCCGCGGUAAUACGUAGGGUGCAAGCGUUAAUCGGAAUUACUGGGCGUAAAGCGUGCGCAGGCGGUUUUGUAAGUUUGUCGUGAAAUCCCCGGGCUCAACCUGGGAAUGGCGAUGAAGACUGCAAGGCUAGAGUUUGGCAGAGGGGGGUAGAAUUCCACGUGUAGCAGUGAAAUGCGUAGAUAUGUGGAGGAACACCGAUGGCGAAGGCAGCCCCCUGGGUCAAAACUGACGCUCAUGCACGAAAGCGUGGGGAGCAAACAGGAUUAGAUACCCUGGUAGUCCACGCCCUAAACGAUGUCUACUAGUUGUCGGGUCUUAAAUUGACUUGGUAACGCAGCUAACGCGUGAAGUAGACCGCCGUGGGAGGUACGGUCGGCGAAGUAAGUUAAAACGUUAAAGUUAAGUAAGUUAGUUAGGACGUUGAGACGUGCGACGGACGACGACGAGGGAGGAGG
RNAcentral lists this ribosomal RNA (639 nucleotides) under uncultured bacterium. Its description in RNAcentral is "bacterial SSU rRNA". The stretch from base 1 to 543 matches the Rfam family "Bacterial small subunit ribosomal RNA", at positions 338 to 873 of the family's 1533-position model. The record is from RNAcentral.